UCUGACUACUUAUGUAAACGUGAAAGUACUGAGUAAAAGGUCUGACUACUUAUGUAAACGUGAAAGUACUGAGUAAAAGGUCUGACUACUUAUGUAAACGUGAAAGUACUGAGUAAAAGGUCUGACUACUUAUGUAAACGUGAAAGUACUGAGUAAAAGGUCUGACUACUUAUGUAAACGUGAAAGUACUGAGUAAAAGGUCUGACUACUUAUGUAAACGUGAAAGUACUGAGUAAAGGGUCUGACUACUUAUGUAAACGUGAAAGUACUGAGUAAAAGGUCUGACUACUUAUGUAAACGUGAAAGUACUGAGUAAAAGGUCUGACUACUUAUGUAAACGUGAAAGUACUGAGUAAAAGGUCUGACUACUUAUGUAAACGUGAAAGUACUGAGUAAAAGGUCUGACUACUUAUGUAAACGUGAAAGUACUGAGUAAAAG
This is a long non-coding RNA of Oncorhynchus keta (chum salmon), 439 nucleotides long. RefSeq lists it as uncharacterized. Lineage: Eukaryota; Metazoa; Chordata; Actinopteri; Salmoniformes; Salmonidae. The transcript has 3 exons. The record is from RefSeq and is a predicted model, not a curated record.